AUUGAACGCUGGCGGCAUGCCUUACACAUGCAAGUCGAACGGUAACAGGUUAAGCUGACGAGUGGCGAACGGGUGAGUAAUGUAUCGGAACGUGCCCAGUCGUGGGGGAUAACUGCUCGAAAGAGCAGCUAAUACCGCAUACGACCUGAGGGUGAAAGCGGGGGAUCGCAAGACCUCGCGCGAUUGGAGCGGCCGAUAUCAGAUUAGGUAGUUGGUGAGGUAAAGGCUCACCAAGCCGACGAUCUGUAGCUGGUCUGAGAGGACGACCAGCCACACUGGGACUGAGACACGGCCCAGACUCCUACGGGAGGCAGCAGUGGGGAAUUUUGGACAAUGGGCGCAAGCCUGAUCCAGCCAUGCCGCGUGCGGGAAGAAGGCCUUCGGGUUGUAAACCGCUUUUGUCAGGGAAGAAAAGGUUCUGGCUAAAACCUGGGACUCAUGACGGUACCUGAAGAAUAAGCACCGGCUAACUACGUG
Molecule: ribosomal RNA, 477 nt
Filed under: uncultured bacterium
Lineage: Bacteria
Description: partial 16S ribosomal RNA
Rfam family: Bacterial small subunit ribosomal RNA
Source: RNAcentral